ACUACGGGAGGCAGCAGUGGGGAAUAUUGGGCAAUGGACGCAAGUCUGACCCAGCAACGCCGCGUGAAGGAAGAAGGCUUUAGGGUUGUUAACUUCCUUUGUUAGGGACGAAGACAGUGACAGUACCUGACGUCUAAGCCACGGCAAACUACGUGCCAGGAGCCGCGGUAAUACGUAGGUGGCAAGACGUAUCCGGAUUUACUGGGUGUAAAGGGCGGUUAGGGGGGGAAGCAAGUCAGAUGUGAAAACCACUGGCUCAACCUGUGGCCUGCCUUUGAAACUGUUUGUCUUGAGUGCUGGGGCGGUAAUCGGAAUUCCGGGUGUAGCGGUGAAAUGCUUAGAUAUCCGGCGGAACACCAGUGGCGAAGGCGGAUUACUGGACAAUAACUGACGCUGAGGCGCGAAAGCGUGGGGAGCAAACAGGAUUAGAUACCCUAGUAGUC
RNAcentral lists this ribosomal RNA (443 nucleotides) under uncultured bacterium. Its description in RNAcentral is "partial 16S ribosomal RNA". It matches the Rfam family "Bacterial small subunit ribosomal RNA", at positions 338 to 795 of the family's 1533-position model. The record is from RNAcentral.